Molecule: ribosomal RNA, 422 nt
Filed under: uncultured bacterium
Lineage: Bacteria
Description: bacterial SSU rRNA
Rfam family: Bacterial small subunit ribosomal RNA
Source: RNAcentral
UAGGGAAUAUUGGGCAAUGGGCGAAAGCCUGACCCAGCCAUGCCGCGUGCAGGAUGAAGGCCUUCUGGGUUGUAAACUGCUUUUAUCAGGGAAGAAAAAGCUCCUGCGGGAGCAACUGACGGUACCUGAGGAAUAAGCACCGGCUAACUCCGUGCCAGCAGCCGCGGUAAUACGGAGGGUGCAAGCGUUGUCCGGAUUUAUUGGGUUUAAAGGGUGCGUAGGCGGCCUUUUAAGUCAGUGGUGAAAGCCCAUAGCUCAACUAUGGAACUGCCAUUGAUACUGAAAGGCUUGAGUACAGACGAGGUUGGCGGAAUGGAUGGUGUAGCGGUGAAAUGCAUAGAUACCAUCCAGAACUCCGAUUGCGUAGGCAGCUAACUAGGCUGUAACUGACGCUGAGGCACGAAAGCGUGGGGAGCAAACAG